ACUCUGAGGAAUUUGUGAAUCAAAAUUCCCACCCUUGAAUCAUCUUGAUUUUGACAAAAUGGUAUACAACAAAAACAAUAAUAAACCAAACUCAGUCUGUUGAAUCUUAACAGCGUAAAAUAAUUAAGAUGAAAAGUUGUGAAGUUAUUUCAAAUUCAAAGAAAUUUUCCUGAGCACCACUCAGCAAUGGAUCCAGCGUGGAAGACAUGCCUUUUGCAACAAUCGAACGGUUAUCCUGCUGCUUCUACGCAUACGCUAUGACAAGUCUGGAGAUUGAACCAAAUCGGAAUCAAAAGCCAAGUAAGUGGCCGAAGCAGAUGAAUUUG
Long non-coding RNA from Aedes aegypti (yellow fever mosquito), 326 nucleotides. RefSeq lists it as uncharacterized. The transcript has 2 exons. The record is from RefSeq and is a predicted model, not a curated record. Lineage: Eukaryota; Metazoa; Arthropoda; Insecta; Diptera; Culicidae.